AAAUUAAAUGAAAGGAGCUUGCUUAUGUGUCAGUGUUAUUACUUCUGACCUGGCAAUGCUUGAGCAUUAGUUUUACUCCACUCCAGUUGGACAGGUUGUACGGUGCUCUUCGCUUGGCACCUAAAACUGGCAGACUCCCCUUGGCGCA
This is a long non-coding RNA of Melanotaenia boesemani (Boeseman's rainbowfish), 148 nucleotides long. RefSeq lists it as uncharacterized. The record is from RefSeq and is a predicted model, not a curated record. NCBI's taxonomy places the organism in Eukaryota, Metazoa, Chordata, Actinopteri, Atheriniformes, Melanotaeniidae. The transcript has 3 exons.